Molecule: non-coding RNA, 104 nt
Organism: Gymnopus androsaceus JB14
Lineage: Eukaryota; Fungi; Basidiomycota; Agaricomycetes; Agaricales; Omphalotaceae
Source: the annotation of a GenBank genome assembly
GGCUACCUGGCGCAAUGGUAGCGCGUUUGGCUUCGAUUGCUGAAUGUAAACACCAGAUCAGCUACCAUACCAAAAGGUUGCAGGUUCGAGUCCUGCGGUGGUCA